GCUAACUACGUGCCAGCAGCCGCGGUAAUACGUAGGUGGCAAGCGUUGUCCGGAUUUAUUGGGCGUAAAGCGAGCGCAGGCGGUUUUUUAAGUCUGAUGUGAAAGCUUUCGGCUCAACCGAAGAAGUGCAUCGGAAACUGGGAAACUUGAGUGCAGAAGAGGACAGUGGAACUCCAUGUGUAGCGGUGAAAUGCGUAGAUAUAUGGAAGAACACCAGUGGCGAAGGCGGCUGUCUGGUCUGUAACUGACGCUGAGGCUCGAAAGUAUGGGUAGCAAACAGGAUUAGAUACCCUGGUAGUCCAUACCGUAAACGAUGAAUGCUAAGUGUUGGAGGGUUUCCGCCCUUCAGUGCUGCAGCUAACGCAUUAAGCAUUCCGCCUGGGGAGUACGGCCGCAAGGCUGAAACUCAAAGGAAUUGACGGGGGCCCGCACAAGCGGUGGAGCAUGUGGUUUAAUUCGAAGCUACGCGAAGAACCUUACCAGGUCUUGACAUACUAUGCAAAUCUAAGAGAUUAGACGUUCCCUUCGGGGACAUGGAUACAGGUGGUGCAUGGUUGUCGUCAGCUCGUGUCGUGAGAUGUUGGGUUAAGUCCCGCAACGAGCGCAACCCUUAUUAUCAGUUGCCAGCAUUAAGUUGGGCACUCUGGUGAGACUGCCGGUGACAAACCGGAGGAAGGUGGGGAUGACGUCAAAUCAUCAUGCCCCUUAUGACCUGGGCUACACACGUGCUACAAUGGAUGGUACAACGAGUUGCGAACUCGCGAGAGUAAGCUAAUCUCUUAAAGCCAUUCUCAGUUCGGAUUGUAGGCUGCAACUCGCCUACAUGAAGUCGGAAUCGCUAGUAAUCGCGGAUCAGCAUGCCGCGGUGAAUACGUUCCCGGGCCUUGUACACACCGCCCGUCACACCAUGAGAGUUUGUAACACCCAAAGUCGGUGGGGUAACCUUUU
Molecule: ribosomal RNA, 948 nt
Filed under: Lactiplantibacillus plantarum
Lineage: Bacteria; Bacillati; Bacillota; Bacilli; Lactobacillales; Lactobacillaceae
Description: bacterial SSU rRNA
Rfam family: Bacterial small subunit ribosomal RNA
Source: RNAcentral